RNAcentral lists this unclassified non-coding RNA (337 nucleotides) under soil metagenome. RNAcentral's name for it is "partial contains 5.8S ribosomal RNA, internal transcribed spacer 2, and large subunit ribosomal RNA". The stretch from base 1 to 120 matches the Rfam family "5.8S ribosomal RNA", at positions 35 to 154 of the family's 154-position model. The record is from RNAcentral.
GAUGAAGAACGUAGCGAAAUGCGAUAAGUAGUGUGAAUUGCAGAAUUCAGUGAAUCAUCGAAUCUUUGAACGCACAUUGCGCCCCUUGGUGUUCCAUGGGGCAUGCCUGUUCGAGCGUCAUUUGUACCUUCAAGCUCUGCUUGGUGUUGGGUGUUUGUCUCGCCUCUGCGUGUAGACUCGCCUUAAAACAAUUGGCAGCCGGCGUAUUGAUUUCGGAGCGCAGUACAUCUCGCGCUUUGCACUCAUAACGACGACGUCCAAAAGUACAUUUUUACACUCUUGACCUCGGAUCAGGUAGGGAUACCCGCUGAACUUAAGCAUAUCAAUAAGCGGAGGA